GAUGUCGAUGAUGUCCCGCUCAGUCAAGCCCAGCUCCCGCUUCAGCACCUCCCGGUUCCAGUCGAUGCAGCUCUAGGGGGGUGGGUUGAGUUGGAGAGACCUUCCCAGUGGAUUUUGGGGCGACCCAGGAGGUCAUGGCUAGUUAAGGAGACAGGCUGCCCAACUGCCCAUGGACCAACUCGGCACACAAACCUUAACCUCUGUGUCCCUUUGUCAAAACACACCUGUUCUGGGUCCCACCUCUCACAGUCCUAUACCACUAACUGGGCUAGUUCCAGAGUGUUCCACAGCAUUCUGUUUUUGUGAGUGUUCCAGAAUGUUCCAUCUUUUGCCCUCUUCCCUUCUUCACAUCCUUCACGCCUUAGGGGGCUCUCCUUGAGUCUCAUGGUUUAAAACACCACCUACACACAGACAACUCCCACAUUUCUAUUUCCCAACUGCUUUAUAGACCCACCCUCUUUCCUGAUCUCAGAUUUGCACAUACAACCACCGCUUUGCAUCUUCACCUGGAUGGCUAAUUGGCACAUCAGAUAUAACACGUCCAAAGACAAACUCUUCAUUUCUACAUGCGCCACGCCCCCCCACCCCCAGCCUGGUUGACAACUUCGUAACCAGUCUCCUUGCUUCUUCUGCUUUCAUGCCCUGUGGCAGCCAGCAUCACGUUCCUCACAGAACUCCAGCUAUGGGGGUAGACUCGACCAAGGGCCUUGCUGCCUGGCCCUGGCUCUGAAAUCCCAGGGCCACACCUUCCAGUUGCUAAGAGCCAAAGGUCUAGGGGUGGUGACAACUCCCCUCUCUCUAACCUGGGGAUACCGCACAGUCCCCUGUUGAUUUCCUCAGACCCUGCCUGCGCCUUUGGUCCAUACCCAGCAUGGAGCCCAAUGUAGGGCUUGAACUUGGG
Molecule: long non-coding RNA, 901 nt
Organism: Callorhinus ursinus (northern fur seal)
Lineage: Eukaryota; Metazoa; Chordata; Mammalia; Carnivora; Otariidae
Source: RefSeq, a predicted model, not a curated record